CGAAGGAGCUCGUUGUCUUCGUA
Molecule: non-coding RNA, 23 nt
Filed under: Arabidopsis thaliana (thale cress)
Lineage: Eukaryota; Viridiplantae; Streptophyta; Magnoliopsida; Brassicales; Brassicaceae
Source: RNAcentral